CAAUAGCGUAUAUUAAAGUUGUUGCGGUUAAAAAGCUCGUAGUUGGAUUUCUGCUGAGAACGACCGGUCCGCCCUCUGGGUGUGUAUCUGGCUCUUUCUUGGCAUCUUCUUGGUGAACGUUGCUGCACUUGACUGUGUGGAGCGCUACCCAGGACUUUUACUUUGAGGAAAUUAGAGUGUUUCAAGCAGGCAUACGCCUUGAAUACAUUAGCAUGGAAUAAUAAGAUAGGACCUCGGUUCUAUUUUGUUGGUUUCUAGAGCUGAGGUAAUGAUUAAUAGGGAUAGUUGGGGGCAUUCGUAUUUAACUGUCAGAGGUGAAAUUCUUGGACCGUCUGAAGACUAACUACUGCGAAAGCAUUUGCCAAGAGUGUUUUCAUUAA
This 380-nucleotide ribosomal RNA is filed under the name uncultured eukaryote. Its description in RNAcentral is "partial 18S ribosomal RNA". It matches the Rfam family "Eukaryotic small subunit ribosomal RNA", at positions 592 to 976 of the family's 1831-position model. The record is from RNAcentral.